CGUAGGGUGCAAGCGUUAAUCGGAAUUACUGGGCGUAAAGCGUGCGCAGGCGGUUUUUGUAAGUCUGUCGUGAAAAUCCCCGGGGCUCAACCUGGGAAUUGCGAUGGAGACUGCAAGGCUAGAAUCUGGCAGAGGGGGGUAGAAUUCCACGUGUAGCAGUGAAAUGCGUAGAGAUGUGGAGGAACACCGAUGGCGAAGGCAGCCCCCUGGGUCAAGAUUGACGCUCAUGCACGAAAGCGUGGGAGCAAACAGGAUU
RNAcentral lists this ribosomal RNA (256 nucleotides) under uncultured bacterium. Its description in RNAcentral is "partial 16S ribosomal RNA". It matches the Rfam family "Bacterial small subunit ribosomal RNA", at positions 526 to 779 of the family's 1533-position model. The record is from RNAcentral.